GAUGAACGCUGGCGGCGUGCCUAAUACAUGCAAGUCGAGCGAACGGACGAGAAGCUUGCUUCUCUGAUGUUAGCGGCGGACGGGUGAGUAACACGUGGAUAACCUACCUAUAAGACUGGGAUAACUUCGGGAAACCGGAGCUAAUACCGGAUAAUAUUUUGAACCGCAUGGUUCAAAAGUGAAAGACGGUCUUGCUGUCACUUAUAGAUGGAUCCGCGCUGCAUUAGCUAGUUGGUAAGGUAACGGCUUAGCAAGGCAACGAUGCAUAGCCGACCUGAGAGGGUGAUCGGCCACACUGGAACUGAGACACGGUCCAGACUCCUACGGGAGGCAGCAGUAGGGAAUCUUCCGCAAUGGGCGAAAGCCUGACGGAGCAACGCCGCGUGAGUGAUGAAGGUCUUCGGAUCGUAAAACUCUGUUAUUAGGGAAGAACAUAUGUGUAAGUAACUGUGCACAUCUUGACGGUACCCAAUCAGAAAGCCACGGCUAACUACGUG
This 497-nucleotide ribosomal RNA is filed under the name uncultured bacterium. RNAcentral describes it as "partial 16S ribosomal RNA". It matches the Rfam family "Bacterial small subunit ribosomal RNA", at positions 28 to 507 of the family's 1533-position model. The record is from RNAcentral.